Molecule: ribosomal RNA, 468 nt
Filed under: uncultured bacterium
Lineage: Bacteria
Description: partial 16S ribosomal RNA
Rfam family: Bacterial small subunit ribosomal RNA
Source: RNAcentral
GACGAACGCUGGCGGCGUGCUUAACACAUGCAAGUCGAACGGAAAGGCCCUGCUUUUGUGGGGUGCUCGAGUGGCGAACGGGUGAGUAACACGUGAGUAACCUGCCCUUGACUUUGGGAUAACUUCAGGAAACUGGGGCUAAUACCGGAUAGGAGCUCCUGCUGCAUGGUGGGGGUUGGAAAGUUUCGGCGGUUGGGGAUGGACUCGCGGCUUAUCAGCUUGUUGGUGGGGUAGUGGUUUACCAAGGCUUUGACGGGUAGCCGGCCUGAGAGGGUGACCGGCCACAUUGGGACUGAGAUACGGCGCAGACUCCUACGGGAGGCAGCAGGGGGGAAUAUUGCACAGUGGGCGCAAGCCUGAUGCAGCAACGCCGCGUGCGGGAUGACGGCCUUCGGGUUGUAAACCGCUUUCGCCUGUGACGAAGCGUGAGUGACGGUAAUGGGUAAAGAAGCACCGGCUAACUACGUG